UACGUAGGGGGCAAGCGUUGUCCGGAAUCAUUGGGCGUAAAGCGCUCGUAGGUGGAUCGGUAAGUCUGCAAAGAAAGACCCGGGCUCAACUCGGGGAACGGUGUGGAUACUACCGAUCUUGAGGCAAUCAGAGGAUGAUGGAAUUCCCGGUGUAGCGGUGAAAUGCGUAGAUAUCGUCUGGAACGCCGAAGGUGAAAACAGCUCGCUGGGAUUGUGCUGACGCUGAGACACGAAAGCCAGGGGAGCGAACGGG
This 253-nucleotide ribosomal RNA is filed under the name uncultured bacterium. RNAcentral describes it as "partial 16S ribosomal RNA". It matches the Rfam family "Bacterial small subunit ribosomal RNA", at positions 524 to 776 of the family's 1533-position model. The record is from RNAcentral.